UAUCUCCCCUGCACCAGCCAGGAGCCACCCAUCCUCCAGCACACUGAGCAGCAAGCUGGACACACGGCACACUGAUCCAAAUGGAGCAUGUCCUUUGCAACCUGAUCACACAAAUGAUGAAAAAGAAUAGAACUUUCUCAUUCAUCUUUGAAUAACGUCUCCUUGUUUACCCUGGUAUUCUAGAAUGUUACAAGAUGUUCACCUAAGAUUGAGACCUAGUGACUACAUUUCCUACGGGAACAAAUAAAUGGUUUUUCAUCUCCCGGAGAUACAUUACAAACAAAUAUGGUGCUAAAAGAACUCCUUACCUUUCUCUGACUACAAUUUAUUUGGACAUACUUUUGUAUUGAAGAGAGGUAUACAUACUGAAGCUACUUGCUGUACUAUAGGAGACUCUGUCCUGUAGGAUCAUGGACCAUCCUAGUAGGGAAAAGGAUGAAAGACAACGGACAACUAAACCCAUGGCACAAAGGAGUGCACACUGCUCUCGACCAUCUGGCUCCUCAUCGUCCUCUGGGGUUCUUAUGGUGGGACCCAACUUCAGGGUUGGCAAGAAGAUAGGAUGUGGGAACUUCGGAGAGCUCAGAUUAGGUAA
RNAcentral lists this long non-coding RNA (595 nucleotides) under Homo sapiens (human). RNAcentral describes it as "non-protein coding lnc-CSNK1G1-1:2". The record is from RNAcentral. Lineage: Eukaryota; Metazoa; Chordata; Mammalia; Primates; Hominidae.